AAACUUAAAGGAAUUGACGGAACCCGCACAAGCGGUGGAGUAUGUUGUUAAUUCGAAGAUACACGAAGAACCUUACCAGGUCUUGACAUACCAUUGACAGGCGCAGAGAUGUGCUCUCCUUCGGGCAAUGGAUACGGGUGGUGCAUGGUUGUCGUCAGCUCGUGCCGUGAGGUGUUGGGUUAAGUCCCGCAACGAGCGCAACCCUCAUUGUUAGUUACUACCAUUCAGUUGAGGACUCUAAUGAGACUGCCAACGAUAAGUUGGAGGAAGGUGGGGAUGACGUCAAAUCAUCAUGCCCUUUAUGACCUGGGCUACAAACGUACUACAAUGGCCAAUACAAAGAGAUGCGAAGCGGUGACGUGGAGCGAACCUCAGAAAGUUGGUCUCAGUUCAGAUUGAAGUCUGCAACUCGACUUCAUGAAGGCGGAAUCGCUAGUAAUCGCGGGUCAGCAGACCGCGGUGAAUACGUUCCCGGGUUUU
Molecule: ribosomal RNA, 480 nt
Filed under: uncultured Mollicutes bacterium
Lineage: Bacteria; Bacillati; Mycoplasmatota; Mollicutes
Description: bacterial SSU rRNA
Rfam family: Bacterial small subunit ribosomal RNA
Source: RNAcentral